GAGAGAGCUUGCUUUCUCAAGCGAGUGGCGAACGGGUGAGUAACGCGUGAGGAACCUGCCUCAAAGAGGGGGACAACAGUUGGAAACGACUGCUAAUACCGCAUAAGCCCACGACCCGGCAUCGGGUAGGGGGAAAAGGAGCAAUCCGCUUUGAGAUGGCCUCGCGUCCGAUUAGCUAGUUGGUGAGGUAACGGCCCACCAAGGCGACGAUCGGUAGCCGGACUGAGAGGUUGAACGGCCACAUUGGGACUGAGACACGGCCCAGACUCCUACGGGAGGCAGCAGUGGGGAAUAUUGCACAAUGGGGGAAACCCUGAUGCAGCGACGCCGCGUGGAGGAAGAAGGUCUUCGGAUUGUAAACUCCUGUUGUUGAGGAAGAUAAUGACGGUACUCAACAAGGAAGUGACGGCUAACUACGUGCCAGCAGCCGCGGUAAAACGUAGGUCACAAGCGUUGUCCGGAAUUACUGGGUGUAAAGGGAGCGCAGGCGGGAAGACAAGUUGGAAGUGAAAUCCAUGGGCUCAACCCAUGAACUGCUUUCAAAACUGUUUUUCUUGAGUAGUGCAGAGGUAGGCGGAAUUCCCGGUGUAGCGGUGGAAUGCGUAGAUAUCGGGAGGAACACCAGUGGCGAAGGCGGCCUACUGGGCACCAACUGACGCUGAGGCUCGAAAGUGUGGGUAGCAA
This 684-nucleotide ribosomal RNA is filed under the name uncultured bacterium. RNAcentral describes it as "bacterial SSU rRNA". It matches the Rfam family "Bacterial small subunit ribosomal RNA", at positions 72 to 771 of the family's 1533-position model. The record is from RNAcentral.